UCCGCAGCGCGUGCCGCAGCACCACGUCGCGGAAGCGCACGCCUUUCAGCCGGGCGGUGCGGAUGUAUUGCGCCGUCAUCACCUCGGUCAUCGAGGCGCGGGUCAUCCGGGCGAUGUAGCCGACGCCGUAAAGGGCGAUGGUCAUCACCGGCAGGAAGAAAUUCUGGAAGGUGAUGU
Small RNA from Rhodobacter sp., 177 nucleotides. It matches the Rfam family "Ruegeria cis52 sRNA". From Rfam's summary of the family: Cis-encoded. Targets oligo/dipeptide ABC transporter. The record is from Rfam. NCBI's taxonomy places the organism in Bacteria, Pseudomonadati, Pseudomonadota, Alphaproteobacteria, Rhodobacterales.